Molecule: long non-coding RNA, 578 nt
Organism: Phragmites australis (common reed)
Lineage: Eukaryota; Viridiplantae; Streptophyta; Magnoliopsida; Poales; Poaceae
Exons: 2
Source: RefSeq, a predicted model, not a curated record
UCAAAACAUUGGUACUCGCUAGGGCCAAUGAUAUGCCAUGCUGAAUCUGUCAAGAGAAAUCCAGGCCCAGUUCGCUGGUGCCGACAGCCACGACGCUCAUGGGCGCGGCUCUUCUCCAUAGGGGUGCUGUCGUGGUCCCUCCUCCGCUCACUCUACGGUACUCUCCAGGGCUAUGACAUUCAGCGAGUCCUCUACCUCUCGGAAUGCCUCAUACUUCACAGUGGAUGGCUGAUAUGUGUGAAGGAAAGUAUGCUACGUGAAGUCGGAGAUAUUAUAUCGUAGGGUGCGAUAAAAUUUGACAAAGAUGACAUGCAGCAAGCUCUCUCUCGCAGAUGUCUUGGUGAUUGCUAUGGGUUUGGGUGCGACGUCGAGGAGUUAAAGGCUGAGGUCUGUCAUGGAAAAUCGGAUCUAUUUUGUCACUCUAGUGAUAAGUUUGAUAACGAUGACUCAUGUCAAAUUUCGUCAUUUGUAAGUUGUAGGUAUGUGAUGGUGGGUCACCUGAGUGACCGUCCCAAUCAUUUUCUACUGUUGUUAGAGUUAUUUUUCUUCUAAUAAAUUAUAUGGUUGUAAGAUUUUCA